GUGCUUGAUUGGCAGCACAUAUACUAAAAUUGGAACGAUACAGAGAAGAUGAGCAUGGCCCCAGCACAAGGAUGACCUGAAAAUUUGUGAAACAUUCCAUGUGUUU
RNAcentral lists this small nuclear RNA (106 nucleotides) under Chinchilla lanigera (long-tailed chinchilla). The record is from RNAcentral. Lineage: Eukaryota; Metazoa; Chordata; Mammalia; Rodentia; Chinchillidae.